This 253-nucleotide ribosomal RNA is filed under the name uncultured bacterium. Its description in RNAcentral is "partial 16S ribosomal RNA". It matches the Rfam family "Bacterial small subunit ribosomal RNA", at positions 524 to 776 of the family's 1533-position model. The record is from RNAcentral.
UACGUAGGGUGCGAGCGUUAAUCGGAAUUACUGGGCGUAAAGCGUGCGCAGGCGGUUGGCAAAGUCAGCUGUGAAAGCCCCGGGCUUAACCCGGGAAUGGCAUUGGAUACUGCAGAUCUGGAGGAUCGGAGGGGGGACUGGAAUUCUUGGUGUAGCAGUGAAAUGCGUAGAUAUCAAGAGGAACACCAGUGGCGAAGGCGAGUCCCUGGACGAUACCUGACACUGAGGCACGAAAGCUAGGGGAGCAAACAGG